Molecule: long non-coding RNA, 285 nt
Filed under: Homo sapiens (human)
Lineage: Eukaryota; Metazoa; Chordata; Mammalia; Primates; Hominidae
Description: HSALNT0396854
Source: RNAcentral
UCACACUUGUUUGGUACUGAGCCACAUGAUAUGUCGCAACUCCCCCUGUGAGCAGGGACCAGGCAGGAGAAGAAAGUCACAUCAUCAUUCCCAAAGCAAAGCCUGGGGUUCUAUUUAAAAUCAUGCAACCAGGAAAAGCAGACAUGAGAAACUUACUACACUCACUCUGGAGAAGAUAAAGUGGAGUUCCAGAGGAUUAUUUUCUCACGUAACAUGUUUACAGACUUCGGAGGUUGAGGCGGGUGGAUCACCUGAGGUCAAGAAUUCAAGAGCAGCCUGGCCAAC